ACCUGCGGAAGGAUCAUUACAGUAGUCGCCCGGGUUGCCGCAAGGCCUCCCGGGUAACCUACCACCCUUUGUUUAUUACACUUUGUUGCUUUGGCAAGCCUGCCCUCGGGCUGCUGGCUCCGGCCGGCGAGCGCUUGCCAGAGGACCUAAACUCUGUUUGUCUAUACUGUCUGAGUACUAUAUAAUAGUUAAAACUUUCAACAACGGAUCUCUUGGUUCUGGCAUCGAUGAAGAACGCAGCGAAAUGCGAUAAGUAAUGUGAAUUGCAGAAUUCAGUGAAUCAUCGAAUCUUUGAACGCACAUUGCGCCCCCUGGUAUUCCGGGGGGCAUGCCUGUCCGAGCGUCAUUACAACCCUCAAGCUCAGCUUGGUGUUGGGCCCCGCCGCCCCGGCGGGCCCUAAAGUCAGUGGCGGUGCCGUCCGGCUCCGAGCGUAGUAAUUCUUCUCGCUCUGGAGGCCCGGUCGUGUGCUCGCCAGCAACCCCCAAUUUUUUUCAGGUUGACCUCGGAUCAGGUAGGGAUACCCGCUGAACUUAAGCAUAUCAAUAA
RNAcentral lists this ribosomal RNA (547 nucleotides) under Onygenales sp. 7R41-1. RNAcentral's name for it is "eukaryotic LSU rRNA". The stretch from base 193 to 346 matches the Rfam family "5.8S ribosomal RNA". Lineage: Eukaryota; Fungi; Ascomycota; Eurotiomycetes; Onygenales. The record is from RNAcentral.